Molecule: ribosomal RNA, 229 nt
Filed under: uncultured bacterium
Lineage: Bacteria
Description: partial 16S ribosomal RNA
Rfam family: Bacterial small subunit ribosomal RNA
Source: RNAcentral
UGCGUAGGCGGGCUAAUAAGUCAGUGGUGAAAUCCCUCGGCUCAACCGGGAAACUGCCAUUGAUACUGUUAGUCUUGAGUUCGGUUGAGGUAGGCGGAAUGUGUAAUGUAGCGGUGAAAUGCUUAGAUAUUACACAGAACACCAAUUGCGUAGGCAGCUUACUAGACCGACACUGACGCUGAGGCACGAAAGCGUGGGGAGCGAACAGGAUUAGAUACCCUGGUAGUCC